Molecule: ribosomal RNA, 440 nt
Filed under: uncultured bacterium
Lineage: Bacteria
Description: partial 16S ribosomal RNA
Rfam family: Bacterial small subunit ribosomal RNA
Source: RNAcentral
CCUACGGGAGGCAGCAGUAGGGAAUAUUGCUCAAUGGGGGAAACCCUGAAGCAGCAACGCCGCGUGGAGGAUGACGGUUUUCGGAUUGUAAACUCCUUUUGUUAGAGAAGAUAAUGACGGUAUCUAACGAAUAAGCACCGGCUAACUCCGUGCCAGCAGCCGCGGUAAUCCGGAGGGUGCAAGCGUUACUCGGAAUCACUGGGCGUAAAGAGCGUGUAGGCGGGAUAGCAAGUCAGAUGGGAAAUCCUAUGGCUUAACCAUAGAACUGCAUUUGAAACUGUUGUUCUAGAGUAUGGGAGAGGUAGGUGGAAUUCUUGGUGUAGGGGUAAAAUCCGUAGAGAUCAAGAAGAAUACUCAUUGCGAAGGCGACCUGCUAGAGCAUAACUGACGCUGAUGCGCGAAAGCGUGGGGAGCGAACAGGAUUAGAUACCCGAGUAGUC